GGUUAAACUAGGGAUGCAAACGGAUCCGGGUUGAUGGAGCUUCCGCCCCGAUCCGUUCCGAUGGGGCAGUAAAUUGGAGAAAAUAAACGGAUUCGGGGCGGGAAACGGAGUAAAAUUUACGAUCCGAGACGGAUUUGGGGCAGGAAACGGAAAAAAUUUUAACCCGCUCCGAAUCCGCCCGCCAUGAUCUGCCCGAAUCCGCUCCGAAUCCGUCCCGAAAAUCAUUUAUAUUUUAAAAAAAAUAUUCCUUAAAAAUAAUGUAUUUACAAAAAAAUUCAAAAUACAAAUAACUUAGUACCCUUAUUUCUAAUGUAUUUGAAACUUUUGAAUUUUAUUUUGAAUUAUGAUUGAUAUUUUUUAUUUUUAUAAUUAAUAUUAUUAAAUUAAAUAUAUAAUAUUAUUAAAAAUUAUUAAUUUAUAUUUUAUAAAAUAUUAAUAAUAUUAUAAUUUUAUAAAAAAUAUUAGUUGGCGGNNN
Molecule: long non-coding RNA, 475 nt
Filed under: Ananas comosus (pineapple)
Lineage: Eukaryota; Viridiplantae; Streptophyta; Magnoliopsida; Poales; Bromeliaceae
Description: long non-coding RNA (ACOM_LNC041764)
Source: RNAcentral